CCCGUGUUCAAACCUCAAAUUCAUUCUUGACGUAUUUCGUGAUUUAUAUUCAUUUUAUUUCCAUAAUUUUGUUGUUGUUUCUUCUCCGACCCCUUUCAACAUAUCCUCCUCCCAAUAUUCAGCUGACCAGACCAACCAAACGUGCCCUCGCCGAAACCCAGUGUCACUUCGCCGUUUUACCAGCCGCUCCCAUCUGACCCUCAAUCACCUGAAAACCUCCCACAACAUUCGAAUACGUCAUCGUAUUACCAUACCAUCGCCGCCACCGCCAUUCGUGCCUCCUCCACCGCCGUCUACUUUGCAUUGCCGCCGUUCUUCCCUUCCUCAUCGCCGCCAUCUGCCUACUCUGGCCCUCCUACCCUGACCUCUCUAUCGUCCGCCUCCGGCUCGACGGCCUCCAAUUCCAUACUCGCCCCAAAAUCUCCCUCGACAUCAAACUCGACCUCACCGUCAAGGUCCGGAACAGAGACUUUUACUCAAUUGAAUAUGACUCAUUAGCUGUCGCGAUCGUGUACAGAGGGGAUCGCCUGGGGUACGUCUCCUCGGACAACGGCUACGUCAGAGCUCGUGGGGAGUCUUAUGUUAACGCCACGCUCCAGUUAGAUGGAGUUGAGAUUUUGUCGGACGCGAUUCUGUUGCUGGAAGACCUAGCCAAGGGUUCGGUUCCGUUCGAUGCCGUCACAGAGAUUGAUGGGAAGCUUGGAGUUUUCUUCUUCGACAUUCCUUUUAAGGUAAAUUUUGAUGGCUAAGAAAUACGAAAGAAUAUGAUCACUAAUUAUUUUUCAGAUUAGAAGGGUUGGUAUUAAUGCUAGUUCUAUAAAGUAGAACGGAUAAGAAUGAUGAAUGUUUCUUUACUCUUGGAGCUGCAUGUGAAAGAAUGGAGAAAAGCAAUUGAAGGGAAAUAAUAGUACUGCAAAGAUAGGCACUUAUGGCUUUAAUCAAUUUGUUUGGGAAGGCAUGCUAAAGGGUUGUGAAUGUUGAUAUCAAGGCAAUUUAGAAACUAGAGGGAAAUGUGGUCCUUUAUGAACAAAUUUUCUAGAGUUUGUCUUCCAUAGACAUGGGUGCUUUGAAGUCGUGACAGUCGAAAACAACCAAUUUAAUUUGCAGUUGUGACCACAAAACUAACCAGUAAAGACGCAGAUAAAAGCAAAGGGAAGCAAUCCAUACCAUUAGAUCCAUAGAACAAAUUUAAAUUCAUAAGAUAAUUAUGGUCAGCCAAGUGUGUUUAUGAGUUCAUUCACUUUGGAUGAACCUUUGGAUAAUAGAUAUGAAGCGGCACUGUGUUCGAGCUCCAACUCUAGGUGUGUGCCAAAUAUCAUCACUAGGAGAGUUAUGACAGAAUUGACUUCAGUAGGGACUAGAGGCUUGGAGAAAAUGGUGUGAGCGAGGAUAGAGCUUCCAUUGGGGAACAUGUUUGGAGAUGAUUUAUGACCGAGUUCAUCUGAGAGUCAGUGAUUGAGAACCUACGCACGUGAGCAUAACAUCUUCUGUAAGCUUUGUUUAAUGUUUUGGAAGAUGGAAUCUUAUGUAGUCCUUUGUCAGAAUUUUUUUUCUGCUUGCUCACCUUAAUUUUCUGUUUCUAGUUGUUGUAAGGUAUUGUUUCUUUGCACUUGUAUGAUUUAGAAUCAAAGGUAAAUACACUGUUCUUCUAGAAUGUCAUGUUUGCAAAUCUACUUACCCAAGGUAUUUUCACUCAUGAGAUGUUCCAUUUCUCCAUUCUAUCCCUCUGUACGCUCAUGUGUUUCUUCUUUUUUUGGUAUCCUGGCAUCAAAUGAUGGACAAAUCUGGAAUCGUUACUUAUUUAAAACUAGUGGAAUUAUAAUAUGGUGGCAUGGGUACGCAUCCCCCACUCCCCACCAUCAGCUUCUAAGCUAUUUAAGAUCUUUUUUAAAUGUCAAUGUGCUGAUCAAAAUCAAAUUUGUCAGUUUCUCAUGGCUUCAUAAUUAUGAUUUUUACAGGCAAAAAUGUAUGUGAAAUAAUUUUAAAUGCACACAACCAAACAAUUGAUCAUCAAAGCUGCCAUCCUGAGGUAAAGUUCCAAUCUUCUGCUAGUUUUACCUUUCUUCUGGUUGAUCUGUCUUGCAUGUGAAUAACAAUGGAAGGAAUUGGAGGUGAAGGAUAUGAAUUCUAUGUGAAAUUAAGAAAGUAAAAGAAGCUCACAUCUUAUUCAUCAUACCGUUUAGUCUUGUCCAAUGCUGGCUCUUGGCCUACAAUUUGCUAGAAAUUGCACUAUCUAAAAGCCAACCUUUCUUUACCCUACCUCCCCUCUCUCCUCCAGGUGGACAGUUGUGAAAAAUAUAGUGAUAUACACACAAAUAAAAUGUAACAUUUUUAUAGUUGGAUAGUGAACUGCAUAUCUAAUUCCAAUUUAUCAACAGUGAUGGAAUAUUGGACACUGCCCAAAAAUUUCUAAACAGAGCUAGGAGAUGAGGUUGUUCUUGCAGAUUGCCAAAUAGAGAACCUCGUGCUGCCCAGGUUAUUGAUACUUUAUUCUUGGAUUAUUACCCAUUUCUUUUCUUAUAAAUGGGGCAAACAUUUGUCUGGAUGUAAAUUAGUACGCAUAUCGUAUGUAUGUAAGUUAUUUGGAUACAAGAAAUUGAGUAUGAACAGAUGUAAAAUCUGUUACUGUACACGUGCGUGCACACACGCGUACACAACCCCAUCUGGUACAAUGAAUUUCUUGAUCUUAUUCUUAUGGUGCACAUUGAACUGAAAUUAGGAUCCAGGUGGAGAGAUACAAAUUUUCAUAUAUAUGAUUUUAUGCAAAAACAUUACAGUGGAGGAAAUUCAUACAGUGGAAAUAUAAUCUAAUUUCUUCUUGUUUGCUAGGAUGAUGAAACAUAUGUACUUACUAACUAGGUCUGUUUCCCGGACCUACCCACUCGUAUUCUGCAUGAUGAUAUCUACACCUGAACGAACCUGGGUGGCGCGUUGGUGAACACACACAUCUUUUCAUUCCUCCACCACUGCCACUGUUAGCCCCAGCUGUAUUAACUGUUUCUCGCUGUCUUUCAACCUCUACCACAGCUGGUGGUGAUGGUGGUAUCACAGGAGAAACUACUCUCCCCCGUUGAGGACUGGCCUGGUUGUACAGACCCACCCAAUCUGCACCCGGGUAACACAUCUCUUGUUGCAAGAAGGAAUGGUUUUACGUUCAACAAGAGAGAAUAUAACCAGGGAGAAUCAUAGGAUUAUAGCCCAAGGAAAGCAAAUGAAAGGAUGGCAUAGAAGAAACGUAGGGGUGAGGUGAGGUGGCAUGACGUAGGGGUAUAAUUUGUAAAUAAAAGCUUGGGGAUAUUGUUUGUUAAAAAGGUGUGGUUUGAUUCUCAGAAAGGGAUUGCUUUUGGACAUAACCUUUUGCAUAUUCUGCCCUGUGAGAGAGUAAUUAAGGAUGUGGUGACUGAUCAAAAGAGACUUGCCACCACUUGUGAAGUGACAAGUUGAGAAUUUUAUUAUUAUUUUUUAUUUAGAAAGUUUGGAAAAGGUUAGGGGAGAAAAUUUUGAAACCCAUUUUUCCUUUUCGUUUUUUCCUUUGUUCCUCAUCAUUUUAUUAGGGGAGGGGAUUUUGUGACAUUAAGGGUGCGUUUGAUUACAAGUAGGAAAAUUACAUGUAAAGAAAAUGAAUUCCAGGGAAUUGAAUUACCUAGAAAUUGUUUUC
RNAcentral lists this long non-coding RNA (3658 nucleotides) under Olea europaea subsp. europaea. The record is from RNAcentral. Lineage: Eukaryota; Viridiplantae; Streptophyta; Magnoliopsida; Lamiales; Oleaceae.